UUGAACGCUGGCGGCAGGCCUAACACAUGCAAGUCGAGCGGAUGAAGGGAGCUUGCUCCUGGCUUCAGCGGCGGACGGGUGAGUAAUGCCUAGGAAUCUGCCUGGUAGUGGGGGAUAACGUCCGGAAACGGGCGCUAAUACCGCAUACGUCCUGAGGGAGAAAGUGGGGGAUCUUCGGACCUCACGCUAUCAGAUGAGCCUAGGUCGGAUUAGCUAGUUGGUGGGGUAAAGGCCUACCAAGGCGACGAUCCGUAACUGGUCUGAGAGGAUGAUCAGUCACACUGGAACUGAGACACGGUCCAGACUCCUACGGGAGGCAGCAGUGGGGAAUAUUGGACAAUGGGCGAAAGCCUGAUCCAGCCAUGCCGCGUGUGUGAAGAAGGUCUUCGGAUUGUAAAGCACUUUAAGUUGGGAGGAAGGGCAGUAAGUUAAUACCUUGCUGUCUUGACGUUACCAACAGAAUAAGCACCGGCUAACUUCGUG
Molecule: ribosomal RNA, 483 nt
Filed under: uncultured bacterium
Lineage: Bacteria
Description: partial 16S ribosomal RNA
Rfam family: Bacterial small subunit ribosomal RNA
Source: RNAcentral